This 1374-nucleotide ribosomal RNA is filed under the name Nesterenkonia sandarakina. RNAcentral's name for it is "bacterial SSU rRNA". It matches the Rfam family "Bacterial small subunit ribosomal RNA". The record is from RNAcentral. Lineage: Bacteria; Bacillati; Actinomycetota; Actinomycetes; Micrococcales; Micrococcaceae.
GCAGUCGAACGAUGAAGACCGUGCUUGCACGGUUGGAUUAGUGGCGAACGGGUGAGUAUCACGUGAGUAACCUUCCCUUAACUCUGGGAUAAGCCCGGGAAACUGGGUCUAAUACCGGAUACGACCAGUCCUCGCAUGGGGUGCUGGUGGAAAGAUUUAUCGGUUUUGGAUGGACUCGCGGCCUAUCAGCUUGUUGGUGAGGUAAUGGCUCACCAAGGCGAUGACGGGUAGCCGGCCUGAGAGGGUGACCGGCCACACUGGGACUGAGACACGGCCCASACUCCUACGGGAGGCAGCAGUGGGGAAUAUUGCACAAUGGGCGAAAGCCUGAUGCAGCGACGCCGCGUGCGGGAUGACGGCCUUCGGGUUGUAAACCGCUUUCAGCAGGGAAGAAGCGAAAGUGACGGUACCUGCAGAAGAAGCGCCGGCUAACUACGUGCCAGCAGCCGCGGUAAUACGUAGGGCGCGAGCGUUAUCCGGAAUUAUUGGGCGUAAAGAGCUCGUAGGCGGUUUGUCRCGUCUGCUGUGAAAGCCCGGGGCUCAACCCCGGGUGUGCAGUGGGUACGGGCAGACUAKAGUGCAGUAGGGGAGACUGGAAUUCCUGGUGUAGCGGUGAAAUGCGCARAURUCASGAGGAACACCGAUGGCGAAGGCAGGUCUCUGGGCUGUUACUGACGCUGAGGAGCGAAAGCAUGGGGAGCGAACAGGAUUAGAUACCCUGGUAGUCCAUGCCGUAAACGUUGGGCACUAGGUGUGGGGGACAUUCCACGUUUUCCGCGCCGUAGCUAACGCAUUAAGUGCCCCGCCUGGGGAGUACGGCCGCAAGGCUAAAACUCAAAGGAAUUGACGGGGGCCCGCACAAGCGGCGGAGCAUGCGGAUUAAUUCGAUGCAACGCGAAGAACCUUACCAAGGCUUGACAUGGACCGGAUCGCUGCAGAGAUGCAGUUUCCCUUCGGGGUCGGUUCACAGGUGGUGCAUGGUUGUCGUCAGCUCGUGUCGUGAGAUGUUGGGUUAAGUCCCGCAACGAGCGCAACCCCUAUCCUAUGUUGCCAGCACGUGAUGGUGGGGACUCAUGGGAGACUGCCGGGGUCAACUCGGAGGAAGGUGGGGACGACGUCAAAUCAUCAUGCCCCUUAUGUCUUGGGCUUCACGCAUGCUACAAUGGCCGGUACAAUGGGUUGCGAUACUGUGAGGUGGAGCUAAUCCCUAAAAGCCGGUCUCAGUUCGGAUCGAAGUCUGCAACUCGACUUCGUGAAGUUGGAGUCGCUAGUAAUCGCAGAUCAGCAACGCUGCGGUGAAUACGUUCCCGGGCCUUGUACACACCGCCCGUCAAGUCACGAAAGUUGGUAACACCCGAAGCCGGUGCCUAACCC